GGAAGCGUGGCUGAGUGGCUGAAGGCACCGGUCUUGAAAACCGGAGUACUCGAAAGGGUACCGGAGGUUCGAAUCCUCCCGCUUCCG
This 87-nucleotide transfer RNA is filed under the name bacterium. RNAcentral's name for it is "tRNA-Ser". It matches the Rfam family "tRNA". Rfam says of the family: Transfer RNA (tRNA) molecules are approximately 80 nucleotides in length. Their secondary structure includes four short double-helical elements and three loops (D, anti-codon, and T loops). The record is from RNAcentral.